Molecule: ribosomal RNA, 527 nt
Filed under: uncultured bacterium
Lineage: Bacteria
Description: bacterial SSU rRNA
Rfam family: Bacterial small subunit ribosomal RNA
Source: RNAcentral
AUGGCUCAGGACGAACGCUGGCGGCGUGCCUAAUACAUGCAAGUCGAACGGUCUUUCUAUGGAAGCUUGCUUCCACUGAAAAGAUAGUGGCGAACGGGUGAGUAACACGUGGGUAACCUGCCCAUAAGAGGGGGAUAACAUCCGGAAACGGGUGCUAAUACCGCAUAGUUUUCUUGAUCGCAUGAUCGGGAAAGGAAAGACGGCCUUUGUGCUGUCGCUUAUGGAUGGACCCGCGGCGUAUUAGUUAGUUGGUGAGGUAACGGCUCACCAAGACGAUGAUACGUAGCCGACCUGAGAGGGUGAUCGGCCACAUUGGGACUGAGACACGGCCCAAACUCCUACGGGAGGCAGCAGUAGGGAAUCUUCCGCAAUGGACGAAAGUCUGACGGAGCAACGCCGCGUGAGUGAAGAAAAGGUUUUCGGAUCGUAAAACUCUGUUGUCAGAGAAGAACAAGUUGGAGAGUAACUGCUCCAGCCUUGACGGUAUCUGACCAGAAAGCCACGGCUAACUACGUGCCAGCCGCCGC